GGAGAAGUACCCAAGUGGCCGAAGGGGCUCCCCUGCUAAGGGAGUAGUACGUUAACGCGUAGCCCGGGUUCAAAUCCCGGCUUCUCCGCCA
This 91-nucleotide transfer RNA is filed under the name Bacillota bacterium. RNAcentral describes it as "tRNA-Ser". It matches the Rfam family "tRNA". Rfam says of the family: Transfer RNA (tRNA) molecules are approximately 80 nucleotides in length. Their secondary structure includes four short double-helical elements and three loops (D, anti-codon, and T loops). The record is from RNAcentral. RNAcentral also lists the same sequence under 2 other names. Lineage: Bacteria; Bacillati; Bacillota.